GUUUGAAUGAUGACUGUUUUUAAAAAAAUGUCGGAUACCCCUUCACUCCUAUUAUGAGUGAAAACAAUAGUCUGACAAAC
Small nucleolar RNA from Euleptes europaea (tarantolino), 80 nucleotides. RefSeq annotates it as small nucleolar RNA SNORD101. The transcript has a single exon. The record is from RefSeq and is a predicted model, not a curated record. NCBI's taxonomy places the organism in Eukaryota, Metazoa, Chordata, Lepidosauria, Squamata, Sphaerodactylidae.